This 249-nucleotide ribosomal RNA is filed under the name uncultured bacterium. Its description in RNAcentral is "partial 16S ribosomal RNA". It matches the Rfam family "Bacterial small subunit ribosomal RNA", at positions 15 to 244 of the family's 1533-position model. The record is from RNAcentral.
GAUCCUGGCUCAGGACGAACGCUGGCGGCGUGCCUAACACAUGCAAGUCGAACGGAACUGUUUUGAAAGAUUUCUUCGGAAUGAAUUUGAUUUAGUUUAGUGGCGGACGGGUGAGUAACGCGUGAGUAACCUGCCUUCAAGAGGGGGAUAACAUUCUGAAAAGAAUGCUAAUACCGCAUGACAUAUCGGAACCACAUGGUUCUGAUAUCAAAGAUUUUAUCGCUUGAAGAUGGACUCGCGUCCGAUUAG